GGGUGUAUAGCUCAGUGGUAGAGUGCAUGCUUAGCAUGCAUGAGGUCCUGAGUUCAAUGCCAAGUACCUCCU
RNAcentral lists this transfer RNA (72 nucleotides) under Camelus dromedarius (Arabian camel). It matches the Rfam family "tRNA". Rfam says of the family: Transfer RNA (tRNA) molecules are approximately 80 nucleotides in length. Their secondary structure includes four short double-helical elements and three loops (D, anti-codon, and T loops). Lineage: Eukaryota; Metazoa; Chordata; Mammalia; Artiodactyla; Camelidae. RNAcentral also lists the same sequence under 1 other name. The record is from Rfam by way of RNAcentral.